This 31-nucleotide non-coding RNA is filed under the name Mus musculus (house mouse). Lineage: Eukaryota; Metazoa; Chordata; Mammalia; Rodentia; Muridae. The record is from RNAcentral.
UAUGUCUGUAUAGCAUAUAUGCCUAGUGCCC